This 271-nucleotide ribosomal RNA is filed under the name uncultured Prevotella sp. RNAcentral's name for it is "partial 16S ribosomal RNA". It matches the Rfam family "Bacterial small subunit ribosomal RNA", at positions 85 to 355 of the family's 1533-position model. Lineage: Bacteria; Pseudomonadati; Bacteroidota; Bacteroidia; Bacteroidales; Prevotellaceae. The record is from RNAcentral.
CGGACGUCGACCGGCGCACGGGUGAGUAACGCGUAUCCAACCUUCCCGUUACUGCGGGAUAACCUGCCGAAAGGCAGACUAAUACCGCAUGUUCUUCGAUGACGGCAUCAGAUUCGAAGCAAAGAUCCGUCGGUAACGGAGGGGGAUGCGUCUGAUUAGCUUGUUGGCGGGGUAACGGCCCACCAAGGCGACGAUCAGUAGGGGUUCUGAGAGGAAGGUCCCCCACAUUGGAACUGAGACACGGUCCAAACUCCUACGGGAGGCAGCAGCA